This is a small nucleolar RNA of Balaenoptera musculus (blue whale), 66 nucleotides long. Its record names the gene SNORD58. It matches the Rfam family "Small nucleolar RNA SNORD58". From Rfam's summary of the family: snoRNA U58 is found in introns 1, 3 and 6 of the ribosomal protein RPL17 gene in humans. U58 is a member of the C/D class of snoRNA which contain C (UGAUGA) and D (CUGA) box motifs. The record is from Ensembl. NCBI's taxonomy places the organism in Eukaryota, Metazoa, Chordata, Mammalia, Artiodactyla, Balaenopteridae.
AAGCCCUGAUGGCAUUUCUUAGGACACCUUUGGAUUAAUCAUGAAAACAACAACUCUCUGAGUAUU